RNAcentral lists this ribosomal RNA (449 nucleotides) under uncultured bacterium. RNAcentral describes it as "partial 16S ribosomal RNA". It matches the Rfam family "Bacterial small subunit ribosomal RNA", at positions 29 to 523 of the family's 1533-position model. The record is from RNAcentral.
AACGAACGCUGGCGGCAUGCCUAACACAUGCAAGUCGAACGAAGGCUUCGGCCUUAGUGGCGCACGGGUGAGUAACGCGUGGGAAACUGCCUAUUGGUGGGGAAUAACGACGGGAAACUGUCGCUAAUACCGCAUAAGCCCUUCGGGGGAAAGAUUUAUCGCCGAUAGAUGUGCCCGCGUCCGAUUAGCUAGUUGGUGAGGUAAUGGCUCACCAAGGCGACGAUCGGUAGCUGGUCUGAGAGGAUGAUCAGCCACACUGGGACUGAGACACGGCCCAGACUCCUACGGGAGGCAGCAGUGGGGAAUAUUGGACAAUGGGCGAAAGCCUGAUCCAGCAAUGCCGCGUGAGUGAUGAAGGCCUUAGGGUUGUAAAGCUCUUUCGGGUGGGACGAUGAUGACGGUACCACCAGAAGAAGCCCCGGCUAACUUCGUGCCAGCCGCCGCAGUAA